Molecule: small nuclear RNA, 188 nt
Organism: Manis pentadactyla (Chinese pangolin)
Lineage: Eukaryota; Metazoa; Chordata; Mammalia; Pholidota; Manidae
Product: U2 spliceosomal RNA
Exons: 1
Source: RefSeq, a predicted model, not a curated record
ACCGUUUCUCAGCCUUUUGGCUAAGAUUAAGUGUAGUAUUUAUUCUUAUCAGUUUAAUCUGAUAUGUCCUCUAUCUGAGGGCAAUAUAUUAAGUAGAUUUUUGGAGCAGGAAGAUGGAAUAGUAGCUUGCUUCAUACACUCUAAGUAUCAACCUGGUGUUCAGUACUUCCAGAAAAGACGCACCCCCU